Molecule: small nuclear RNA, 106 nt
Organism: Gorilla gorilla gorilla (western lowland gorilla)
Lineage: Eukaryota; Metazoa; Chordata; Mammalia; Primates; Hominidae
Source: Ensembl
GUGCUUGCUUCAGCAGCACAUAUACUAAAAUUGGAAUAAUACAGAGAAGAUUAGCAUGUCCCCUGUGCAAGAAUGACCUGGAAUUCGUGAAGCAUUCCGUAUUUUU